UACGUAGGGUGCGAGCGUUGUCCGGAAUUAUUGGGCGUAAAGGGCUCGUAGGCGGUUUGUCGCGUCGGGAGUGAAAACUCAGGGCUUAACCCUGAGCCUGCUUCCGAUACGGGCAGACUAGAGGUAUGCAGGGGAGAACGGAAUUCCUGGUGUAGCGGUGAAAUGCGCAGAUAUCAGGAGGAACACCGGUGGCGAAGGCGGUUCUCUGGGCAUUACCUGACGCUGAGGAGCGAAAGUGUGGGGAGCUAACAGG
This 253-nucleotide ribosomal RNA is filed under the name uncultured bacterium. RNAcentral's name for it is "partial 16S ribosomal RNA". It matches the Rfam family "Bacterial small subunit ribosomal RNA", at positions 524 to 776 of the family's 1533-position model. The record is from RNAcentral.